RNAcentral lists this ribosomal RNA (253 nucleotides) under uncultured bacterium. Its description in RNAcentral is "partial 16S ribosomal RNA". It matches the Rfam family "Bacterial small subunit ribosomal RNA", at positions 524 to 776 of the family's 1533-position model. The record is from RNAcentral.
UACGUAGGGGGCAAGCGUUGUCCGGAUUUAUUGGGCGUAAAGAGCGUGUAGGCGGCCAGGUAGGUCCGUUGUGAAAACUGGAGGCUCAACCUCCAGCGGUCGAUGGAAACCAUCUGGCUAGAGUCCGGAAGAGGAGAGUGGAAUUCCUGGUGUAGCGGUGAAAUGCGCAGAUAUCGUGAGGAAGACCAGUGGCGAAGGCGAUUCUCUGGGCAAUUCCUGACACUGAGGCACGAAGGCCAGGGGAGCAAACGGG